RNAcentral lists this long non-coding RNA (1908 nucleotides) under Olea europaea subsp. europaea. The record is from RNAcentral. Lineage: Eukaryota; Viridiplantae; Streptophyta; Magnoliopsida; Lamiales; Oleaceae.
UAUCAACAAAAAUCAGAGACAAAAAAGUAAAAAUUGUAUGACCUAGUUUCACGGGCACAGAAAGGGACACCGUGCGGCAGUAGUCUGCUCCGCUAGAUUACCCUCCGUCUUUUCUCAGUCGCGUCGGGAUGAAGAAAAAUUUGAUUACAAGUUUAUAGGAAGCUUACAACGGAGAAUUUGAAUACAUUGAAAGUAAAUUGAACAUUGAUUGAUGAAAACUGAACAUUACAAUUGCUGGUGCAAGGGGUGGACACCAGUAGUUUGAAAGAUUUUUGAAUGACUAAUACCCCUUAUAAUAGCAUUCGGAAUAAAAAUCUAAGUGAUGGGUGUAGACGUUUAAAUGAUGAUGAAUCAGACUAAAUGUUUACUAAUAUCAGAGCUAUUUACAACUGAAAUAACUAUUACAAUGAAAAGAAAAUUACAACUCAAAUUUGAAUUAAUAUUUACAAUGUGCGGCCGAAGUUGAGCAAACUGCAACUGCGAUCCUUGACAUUCUCUCCCAUUUGUUUUGGUGAGUCCUCGAUGCCAUCAAUGCAUGAUAAGCUUCAAUUAAUGGUUUGAAGGCUCCAAGAUCCUUUUUUCUUUCCCGAGUAUUCUCCUCGCUGCUGCAUCCAAUCCAUUUGACCAAGUACUCUUGUUGAUCUUUUCUAGAAGCUCGAGUGAUUCAAUGGUCAAGACAGCAACUUUCUUUUCAACUUUCUUCAGUUCAAACGCAGGUCGAUUUGGCUCAUUCCUAGAUGCAUCCUUCUUAUCUGCAAAGUAUAACUUUAGUACACUAACAUGAAAGACCUUGUGGAUUUUACACCAUGAAGAAAGUUCAACUCUGUAUGCGAUUCUUCCAAUCCUCUUCAUGAUGGGUAAUGGUCCAAUGUAUUUUGACACCAAUCUUGAGUCCUUUCCUCUUGUUGGUUUGUAAACAUUUCUGUUGAGAAGCUUAACCAUUACCAGUCUCCAACAUUGAAUUCAAAGAAAUGGUGCUUUAGAUCUACAGACUUUGUAUACCAUUUUUGAGCUUUCUCAAGAUAACUCCAAUUUCAAUAUUUCUUUUGCACUCUUGAGAAAAGUUCUUCGCUUGAGGAGACUUGGUACUUCGUUCGAUAUUCAUUGUAUGAGAAAGUAACGGUUGUUGGCUAGUAACAAUCUCAAAAGGACUCUUAUUGUGGAAGAGCUCUUUUAGUCAUUGAAGCAAAUCUGAGUCGCAUCCAAAAGUUUUACCUAUUUUUUCUGUGAAGUAGAGAUAAAGUACCGAAGAUACUCUUCUAGCAUAGAAUUGAAGCGCUCCAUCUGUCCGUCAGAUUGUGUGUGAAGACUAAAAUUCAUGCUCAAAGUUGAACCAAGAAGUUUGAACAACUCAGUCCAAAAUAUACCAGUGAAACGAGGAUCUCGGUCACUGAUGAUGCCCUUAGGCAGUCCCUAAUAUUUGACAAUAUGUUUGAAGAAGAGUUGAGCUGUCUUUUCCACGGAUACAUACUUAGGUGAUACAAUGAAAGUUGCGUAUUUUGAUAGACGGUCCACCACGACGAUGAUAGUGCCAAAAUUAUCAACUUUUGACAACCUAGUAAUGUAGUCCAUCGAUACACUUUCGAAUGGUCGGGUUGGGACGAAAAGGGGCUCCAACAAGCCCGCAUUUUUCUGAUGAUCUGUCUUAUCUUGUUGACAAAUAAGAUAGGUUUUUACAUAGGUUACAAUAUUGUCUUGCAUUUAAGGUAAGUAGUAUGCACGUUGCAGUGGUGCACAAGUGCGUUCUUCUCCGAGAUGCCUGCCCAAAUCGUGUUGUAGUAUUCCGUAAUUAGUGAUUUCCUCAAAUCUCCACCCUUAAGAAUAUAUAGGCAGUCUCCCUUUAUCUUCACGAGUUUCCCAUCGAGCCAAAACUAACAACUCUUACCCUGCUUGAUGAGGUUGACUAAA